UGGGGAAUAUUGCACAAUGGGCGAAAGCCUGAUGCAGCAACGCCGCGUGAGUGAUGAAGGUCUUCGGAUUGUAAAGCUCUGUCUUUUGGGACGAUAAUGACGGUACCAAAGGAGGAAGCCACGGCUAACUACGUGCCAGCAGCCGCGGUAAUACGUAGGUGGCGAGCGUUGUCCGGAUUUACUGGGCGUAAAGGGUGCGUAGGCGGAUGUUUAAGUGAGAUGUGAAAUACCCGGGCUUAACUUGGGUGCUGCAUUUCAAACUGGAUAUCUAGAGUGCAGGAGAGGAGAAUGGAAUUCCUAGUGUAGCGGUGAAAUGCGUAGAGAUUAGGAAGAACA
This 336-nucleotide ribosomal RNA is filed under the name uncultured bacterium. RNAcentral's name for it is "partial 16S ribosomal RNA". It matches the Rfam family "Bacterial small subunit ribosomal RNA", at positions 355 to 708 of the family's 1533-position model. The record is from RNAcentral.